This is a non-coding RNA of Myotis brandtii (Brandt's bat), 83 nucleotides long. The record is from Rfam. NCBI's taxonomy places the organism in Eukaryota, Metazoa, Chordata, Mammalia, Chiroptera, Vespertilionidae.
AGGCCUGCAGAGAGAGAGGCAGAGUCUUUUCUGCAGCCUCAGUGGCAGCUGUUGAUCAGCUGUUGCCUCUCUCUUUCUCGCCA